CCUACGGGAGGCAGCAGUGGGGAAUAUUGGGCAAUGGGCGAAAGCCUGACCCAGCAACGCCGCGUGAAGGAAGAAGGCUUUCGGGUUGUAAACUUCUUUUGACAGGGAAGAGCAGAAGACGGUACCUGUCGAAUAAGCCACGGCUAACUACGUGCCAGCAGCCGCGGUAAUACGUAGGGAGCAAGCGUUGUCCGGAUUUACUGGGUGUAAAGGGUGCGUAGGCGGUCUUGCAAGUCAGACGUGAAAACCACAGGCUCAACCUGUGGACUGCGUUUGAAACUGUGGGGCUUGAGUGAAGUAGAGGUAGGCGGAAUUCCCGGUGUAGCGGUGAAAUGCGUAGAGAUCGGGAGGAACACCAGUGGCGAAGGCGGCCUACUGGGCUUUAACUGACGCUGAGGCACGAAAGCAUGGGUAGCAAACAGGAUUAGAUACCCCGGUAGUC
Molecule: ribosomal RNA, 442 nt
Filed under: uncultured bacterium
Lineage: Bacteria
Description: partial 16S ribosomal RNA
Rfam family: Bacterial small subunit ribosomal RNA
Source: RNAcentral